GGCCCGGCCGCCCGGGACCCCGGCCAGCCUCGCGCCUGCAGGGGCCCGAGACCCCCACCCGCCGGCUCUGCUUGCCUCCAUCCCCCCAGCCCCGGGCCAAGCCCCCAGCCCAGGCCACCCAGCGGCUCCUCGGCACCAACCAAAACCGGGGUGCCCUGGCCGAGGGGGUCCGCCUUCUCUGGCCUCAGCCUCCUGACUUGCAGCACAUAUGUAAAGGCAGCCGCUGUGCGGGGCUCGGGCAGAGGGGGUCCCCUUGGGGAGCCAGGCGGGACAGGGGAGGCCACGGUCUCUGGAGUGAGGCGCAUGUGGGGUCACGCUGCUCUCGCAGCUUCGGAACGCUCCCGGAGCGUCACCUCUGGCCCGGGCCCGGCGGUUCCGCAGUGACCGAGACAAGACCAGGCUCUGAGGUCCGCGGUGCAGCAGGGCCGGCCUGACGGUGGCCGUGCUGACAGUGCCAAUAGCGGCGUGGGCCUGGUACUGCCCUCGCCGCGUGCCAGGCCUGUGGUCAGCUCGCGGGGGCCUCACGACACCCCCUGAAGCGGGCUUCCUCGUUGCUCCCCCUCUACAAGCUGAAGAAACUGAGGCACGGCGAAGUUGAGGGACUCGCCUGAGGUCACCCAGCUAAUAAUUAGCAGAGCCAAGACUUAACGCCCAGCAGCGUGACUCCAGGAGACAGGAAGGACCGGGCGGCUGAGGAGUGCAAGCCCCUCAUCGGGGGAGGUUUCCAGCACCCCAUCUGGCCAUCUGUAGCCGGCAGCCCACCCCGCUCCCCUGAGCCGCUGAACCCCAGGGCCAGCGCCCAGGGCCAAGGAAGCCACCCUCGGCGUGGGGGCCCACAGACCCAGCUUCAGUGCCGGCUGGGUGAGCUCAGAGCCAAGCGUCCACUUGUUGUAAAAGGCACGUUGGAAGAUCAGCUGAGCCCGUGUCUCGGCACGGUGACUACAGAUGUAAUGAAGUGAAGGACAUUUGGGACGAGGUCACCCUGGAUUUAGUGGGUCCUAAACCCAAUGACGAGCAGCCUUCAAAGAAGAGGAGAGAACACAGAAACACAGAGGGAAGACGGCCCGCGUGAUGACAGAGGCAGAGGUUGGAGCCAUGCAGCCACAAGCCGCGGAACGCCAAGGGCCGUGAGCGUCCAACCGUAGCUGGGAGAGAGGCCUGGGGCAGAGUCCCCUCUGAGCCUCCAGAGGGAACCAACCCUGCCACACCUGGACCUCGGACUUCUGGCUUCCAGAA
Physeter macrocephalus (sperm whale) is the source of this 1236-nucleotide long non-coding RNA. RefSeq lists it as uncharacterized. The record is from RefSeq and is a predicted model, not a curated record. The transcript has 4 exons. Lineage: Eukaryota; Metazoa; Chordata; Mammalia; Artiodactyla; Physeteridae.